Molecule: ribosomal RNA, 252 nt
Filed under: uncultured microorganism
Description: partial 16S ribosomal RNA
Rfam family: Bacterial small subunit ribosomal RNA
Source: RNAcentral
UACGUAGGUCCCGAGCGUUGUCCGGAUUUAGUGGGCGUAAAGCGAGCGCAGGUGGUUUAUUAAGUCUGGUGUAAAAGGCAGUGGCUCAACCAUUGUAUGCAUUGGAAACUGGUAGACUUGAGUGCAGGAGAGGAGAGUGGAAUUCCAUGUGUAGCGGUGAAAUGCGUAGAUAUAUGGUGGAACACCGGUGGCGAAAGCGGCUCUCUGGCCUGUAACUGACACUGAGGCUCGAAAGCGUGGGGAGCAAACAGG